GAGAGAGAAAGGAUUGAAGCAAGCCACCCAGAGCUGCGCCCCAGAGAACCUCAGCCUGCCCCCUCGUACCCCGACAUGGAAGACGACGACAUGGACCCAAACUACGCCCGGAUCCCGACCUUCAGGGACCGCAGCGUCCCCUCACCCACUCAGCCGCUGUCCCAGGCUCCUCACUACAACUCUGCGUCGCACCCCAGCGCCCGCACUCCCUCUCCCACGGGCCGCCUGCCUUCUCGGGACCCGGGAGUAACGGCAUGGACUCCCCGCCUGUCCUGGACGACGACCACAUCGACCGACUCUACGCCAAAGUGAACAAGAGAGGGGGCGGGGCGGCGUCGCCAGUGGCUCCUGUUGCGACCAAUGACAGCGGCGUGGACAGGAUCCAGCAGCUCAGGAGGGAGUACCAGCAGGCGCGGAGAGAGGGGGUUGUGCCGCCGUAUGAAGAACCAGACCAAAGGCGGAGAGGCCAUGACAACGACGCGCACAGGAUGGGAGGCAGAGACCCUCGCAUGGCCCCGCGUUACGAAGAAGUGGAGCGACAGUACGCCUCUUUACCCAGGAGAGGCCCGUUGGAUCCAGCAGAGUACUCUAUGCAGCAGCAGCCAUGGUCGGGACACUACCCCGGACCUCCCCAAGCCGCUCAGUCGUACGCCCAGAGCCCAGCCUAUCCCAACCAGAGUCCAGCCUAUUCCAACCAGAGCCAGGCCUAUCCCAACCAGAACCCGGCUUAUGCCAACCACACCUCCAACCCCGGUGUCCCAUACUCCUACACAGCGGGGCCGGCCUACACAAGAGACCCCAGAACAGUGGAGCCUGGAUACUACCCGCACCCCAGUGCCCAGCAGAGAGGUCCCCUUCGGCAGGACGUCCCGCCCUCUCCCACCCCUCCACUCAGGGUAUGCGCUAUGACACCAUGACCCGAGGCGCCGUGGGAGGCGGGUACAGGUAGAACGCGUCAGUUUUUUUGCGCAUCUUGAUCCAAACAUCCUGAGCUGUACAGCCAGUGGGGAAGACCACACCAAACUCAACAGCUUUCUGGAUCUUUUUAUUCACAUUCCCAAAGGGUUACAACAUUGUUUCUGCCUAUGGUACUAUCGGCCAAUGAACAAACUCAUGGCACUGUUUGCAUAAAAUGGACCCUCAUUGCAGUCGAGUUUUGUAAAAGCGGGUUGGGAUACCAAAACAAAACUGAAAAUUUUAUAUCAAAUACAUAGAAAUUAAGGAACAACAUUAUCUUCUACUUGACUUGCUGCCUUGACACUGCAAUGAAAAUCCAUCUGUGUCAUGCUAAGUUUGUACACUAUGCCUUACUAGUUUUGUGUGAACAAGACAAACAGACCAAAGCACGAUUUGACAAUACAAAACAGCCGUCUAUAUUAUUGCCCUCUUCUUUUUUGUAUUUUGAUAACGCCAAGCUUGCUUUUUUUUAAAUGGUUCUUUCCAGACACCAAACAGCUCUCGAUGCAACAGUAGUCAUACUUUAUCACCAGGCACUUUUAAUAAAUGACUCUAGUUUUGCAUAUUCUGGUUUUCCCAGACCGUUGCCUUGAAAGAGCUGGAUGAGACAUGUAUUCACUUAUUUUCAUAGUGAAGAUGCAGUACUGGCAUAGAGAAAAAAAUUGUUUUAUUAAAUGCUGCCUGUACAUGAAUGUAACACUUGAUGCCCAAAUCAGCACAAAAUUGUUGUAUCUGUGGUCAAAUCUACCUGUUUCAUGCGUCUGAAAAAUGUUGAUUGUUGUAAGCCUAGAAGACAACAAGUAUCACAAAAGUAUAGUGUUAAUAUAGAACCACGUUUUUAUUGUCAUACUGUAUUUGUGGCUUUACAAGAUUCGCAAGUUGCUUCAGUAGGCCAAUAUUCAUUCACUCCCCCAUACUAGAUAGGGCUGCACAAUAUGAGGAAAAUGAACAAUAUUUAAUAACUAAACCAUUGCAACACAGUAUGCCGGUCUAGUGUUUUUAAACGCUGGCUUUCGACUAGACUUUGCGCACUGUGAAAUCUUCAGCGCCAGACUAAACGCAGUUGAACGCGGGCUGGACAGACGCUCAUGGACAAUGGCGAAGUUAUGUACAACAGUGGACCCUCCCCGAGCCUUUACUUCCUACAGACCAAUGUUUUUUGGGGAGCGAGGGUGGCAGUGGGUUGAGGGUUUUGUGCUGGUGUUUUGAUCAUGUUUCUGCGGCGUUUUAGAGCCCCACACAGCCAGAGCUAUGCGCUGUGCUCUCUUUCUCUCGGAUACGGCCAGUGUUUAACUCACAGUGGGAUAAAGUCUGUAGCUUGUCUUGUAAAUGAUGAAUACACGCGAGCAGCACGCCAUGAUAAAGUGCAUAUGACAGGUUUUAAUGCUUUUGAAAUUAUUAUUAUAUGAUUUAGAAGGAUAACAUCAGUUGCAAGUUCAUCAGUUGCGUAAUUAUAGUUUUAUUGAAGACAUUUUAUUUUAUUCGAAUUUUAAAAGCAGUACUAGUUAAUGUGCUUACCUUAAUAAAUCCUUUUCGUAGUCCUUUUGGGGUAAUACAAGCGUUAAUGGGAUGAUUGGAGGGUCUUUCAUCUCCCCCUGGUGUCUCUGGCCAGAAAAUCACACUUGCAACUUGCCUGCCUCUGGGUCGGAGGCGCAAUACACACUAAUGGAACCACGAAGAAGAAGCUAACAGGCUAACGGGCAAGCUAACUGUGGAUUAGCGCCACUUUGGCAGUAUUUACAGCCAAAUUUGAGCGGAAAAAAUAUCUCCAUUGUGUAAUUUAGUUGUGGCACAAUGUAAAAUAUCCCUCUCUCCCUGUGUCUUUUCUGUCAGCGUAGUAUUUUACUCUCACAAACAAUUAAUGAGUAAAAAAAGACACAACGUGCAGUGACGCUUAUGGCCUGUAUGGGCAUAAGCUACUUAGUUCUGCUUUAAACUGCUAACAGGAAGUGACAUGGAUAAUGGUAAAGUUCUAUAGCAGUUUGACUUAUUUCCCAUUGACUUAACAUGGUUGGUAUGGCAACAGUUUAAAUUUGUUUGCCUUCAUCUAUGUCACUUCCUGUCGGUGUCCAAACUAAAGAAAGCUCGGUACAAUCUUUAGCAAAAUCUUCAAUAUAAUUGUGUCUACCAUGUUUUAGCAAAUUGUGUCUAAUGUGUCAUAUGCACUUUAAUGUGAAGAUGUGGAGAGAAGAGCAGUAGAAGCACCUUCUUUCUAAGCCACGCUCCUGCGCCCUGGCCACGCAAGGUCAGGCGCACCGUUUGUUUACACGCAAGAUGUCACUCUCCUCUGCGCUAACGCUGUUGUUGCGCCGGGCGGAAGAUCGGGUCCAUUGUGUUUUAGUGGCACAAAUUUCCGUAACAUUUGCCUAAUCAUCUGGAGAAACGAAUCAAACGAAGGAUUGAAAUUUCUACAGUAGAGAGAUACGCAAUAAGUUGUAGUAGCAGUAUGUAAACUGUAGUGUAGAGAGAGAAAUAGAUAAAGUAGGGAAGCAUGAGGUUGCCAAAGGAGGUUAUCUUUGUUUAGAAGGCAUGCUUUAUUGCGAAUUGAGUAAAGAUCUCUAUGAUGAUCUUUAGGAUUGGUCUGAUUCCAAUACAGUGAGGACCUAAACCAAUUCAUCGAUCCGAUACCGUGCUGUAAUUUCCUUAUAAAUUUACUCUGACAGUACUUCCAUAUUAUUAGCAUCUUUGAGUCUUAGUAUUGGUUAAAAAGUUGGUAUCAAAACAAGCUUAAUAUAGAAGCAUGGAAGGAUGAUCGGACGGUUAGUGGGUUACUAUGGUGGACAUGGAAAGCAAACAAGGUAAGGGAACAAAAAAGUGUCUGUUUGGAAUUGAGCUAAGUUUCCUGGGAUCGUGAUUAAAAGGCACAGGAAGAUGUGAGCAGCGAACAGUUGGCGGGUCUCCGGUCUGUGGGAGGAGAUCACUGUGUGGGAUUUCAUGACUUCAAUUCAUAAAUAUUUAUCCUCCACACGAGCCCGCCACAUGUCACGUUCAACACGCUGUCAAAGUAGAAUGCUAUGUUACACGUCAGCGGUCAGGACUAUCAUUCCAGUUACGUCUGAUCUGUGGCUGGAAGGAUGAAUUUUUGACAACAACUCUUAUUCUGUGAUUUUUAUAAACUUUUAAGGGACACUACAGGGUUUGAGCCAAUUUGGUUUCUUAAUAUAAUAUAGACUUUCACCUGGAAACAAAUAAAAUACUUAAAAUUCACAAUAACAUGUUUAAUUGUUGCAAUGAGUCAAUCUUUCAAUUUGUGGGGAAAUUGUAAUUUUAAGCCAUUUUUCUCACAUUGGCGCGACAAUAUCUCCACCUAAGUAGCUCCUACAAACUUCAAAUCUUGGACUGAACAAGGGUUUUUCAGAGGGAUUUUUUCAUAUCUAAUUCCUGAGCCUGAGUUUUGAAUGUCUAAAAACAAGGCGAUCUUUACAUUUUUACAGAUUUUUCCACUAAUAAAACAUGUCCAAAAUUGAUCCAUUAUUCAGAUUGUGUCGCCGAAAAAAUAUGGGAAAUUUAACGUAAAAUGAAAAGAAAGCUUACAAUACAUAUUUUUCCUCAUACUUAUGCCAGUAAUAGUUUCAAAUGGAUAAUUCUACAUUUAAAAAGUUUCCCCUAUUCACCUGCAGUGUCUCGCUUAAACUGCUACACCUGCGCAGACAGCGGGUUGGGCAUCUCACUCUUCUAUAUUGUGCCUUUUCAGAUAGACUCAGCACUGCCAGUAGAAGGAAUUGUAGCUGAAUAUUGUGUGAACGAUAUUGUCAACAGCAUAUACGCUCCAUUUCAUUUCAAACACUAAAUCAGAAUCAAGGCCAAAAUGAAACUAAAUAUUCGUUUUCUGUUUUAGACGGUGUUUGCAAAGGUCAGAUGCAAGACUUGAGUGAUUGAGCUUCUUAUUGCAUCAUUUAAAGGUGCACUAUGCAACUUUUUUAAUUUUUAUAUUAGUGCGUAUUUGACCUUUCAGUGACCAUGAUGUGUCAGGCCAUUUUAUUUCAGGUUUUCGGAAUGGAAUGCAUAUGUAACCAUGGAUACGGUUCAAUCAGCAGUGAAAACCUAAAAAAACUAUUGAUCCUGGCGCGUCCUACAGGCCACCGGGAUGGUAAGUAAAGGCGCUAUGCUAACCACCCAAGCAUCCGCUGGGUCACUGGAAGGUCUAAUCCGUAUUAAUAUCAACUUUUUUUUAAGUGGGUGAUAUAUUGUGCAGCCCUACACAUAAUUGAUACUAGAAUACAUGUUUUUUUUUCCUGCCAAUCUAAGAGACGAACAUCAUCACAUUCUAGAAAUGCAAAAUCGACCAUGUCCGUGAAAGGAGGAGAUUUUUCUUUGUUUUUCUCCAAAGUUUCACUGUGAUUUUACUCCCUUUGAAUCAAAUGAAGUCAAGACUGAAUGUAUCCGAAUGCUGGGUCACUGCACCGACGUAUGAACUGUGUAUGAAAUUGUAUAUUAUUAUUUCAGUGGCACACAUUUCACUUAUACAUAUACGGCCUUUUAGCGCUUAGUAUUCUAUUUUAUUUUUCUCAUUUCAAGUAGUUGCUGGCCUUUGGUUGAUAGCCCAGCGCUGCCAAUACAUGCUUAUAUGUUUUAACUGCAAUAAUUAGCCAUUUAUAUGUCAUUGUCGAAUUUACGAAAAACGUAAUAAUGGUACUAAUAGUGAGUUUGUGGUACUCUGGGGCCCAUUGCUCAGGCCUUAUGAAGGACUAUAAAACUAUGUAUUAAAAACACAGCUGCCUUUUAACCACUUUAUGAAAAUACUCAAAUGAGUUGUGUGUAUUGUUAUAAAACUAACAAUGAUUUCUAUUCAUUCCUACCAUUUAUAUUUGUGUAUAUACCAUUUUUUGCAAUAAAAUAUUAAUUCUUUACCGGUUCGUCUAUUAGUGUUAUUGUAUAAGGGUUGAAUUUUCAGUUGUGGUCUAAACUCUUUCCC
Molecule: long non-coding RNA, 5872 nt
Filed under: Neogobius melanostomus (round goby)
Lineage: Eukaryota; Metazoa; Chordata; Actinopteri; Gobiiformes; Gobiidae
Description: lncRNA (ENSNMLG00000024695.1)
Source: RNAcentral